AUCCUGAGACCAUGACCUGAGCUGAAGGCAGAUGCUUAACUGACUGAGCCACCCAGGCGUGCCAAGGGUAGAUACAUUACAGAGUAAAGAUGUUCUCCAGGCCUUCCAACCUGGAGUCUCAGUCCCCUGAUUUGUGAUUCAGUCUAGACCAGCACAUGGGAGAGUGAAAUCUUGAAAUUCACUACCUCUGCCUGAGUACGCUCAUAGAAAAAUGGAAUUCUGCAUCCGAAAGACACCACAAAGGAGGUCAUGUUCGAGUAAGAGGCCACGUGACAGCAGGAUGAGUUGCAGGACCAGACAG
Ailuropoda melanoleuca (giant panda) is the source of this 301-nucleotide long non-coding RNA. RefSeq lists it as uncharacterized. The transcript has 3 exons. NCBI's taxonomy places the organism in Eukaryota, Metazoa, Chordata, Mammalia, Carnivora, Ursidae. The record is from RefSeq and is a predicted model, not a curated record.